RNAcentral lists this transfer RNA (67 nucleotides) under Amphinemura longispina. RNAcentral describes it as "tRNA-Leu". It matches the Rfam family "tRNA". From Rfam's summary of the family: Transfer RNA (tRNA) molecules are approximately 80 nucleotides in length. Their secondary structure includes four short double-helical elements and three loops (D, anti-codon, and T loops). The record is from RNAcentral. Lineage: Eukaryota; Metazoa; Arthropoda; Insecta; Plecoptera; Nemouridae.
UCUAAUAUGGCAGAUAAGUGCAAUGGAUUUAAGCUCCAUAUAUAAGGGUUUAUGCCUUUUGUUAGAA